UUUUUUUUUUUUUAGUAAAAUGUGAAGAUUUUAUACCAUUUUCGAAGUUUCGACAGAAAUUACAAAGAAUACAAGUAGCGGAAAAAACAAAAUCUACAGAAUAAACAAUAAAAAACAAAACAACAAAGAAGGCGAGCGUAAGACCAGAGCAGAAGCGAAAGAAGAAACACCGAUUCCGAGUAGCCAAACUCAGAAAUUUGCGUGAUUUCCACAACUCGAAGGAGCUGGAGUCCCAUCUUAGUUGCCACGAGCAAACCCUAUCAGAAGCCCGUCCUCAAAACCUCUGGAUAAAGCGCCUACAGCUUCUCUGCAAACUAACGCAAAAACGCGAUGACAAUAACGGACUAAAACACAAACCCGACGGUUACAGGAGCAUCUACGGGCAACAAGAGAAACCACCUCCGGUCGCCAUUCCUAUACAACGACAGGAACCAUCUCCCACGGAUUAACGAUGCCACAUUGACCAAAGCACCGCCUCUAUUCUUCUCAAGAAGACUCCACUCGAGCAUGACGCGCACCUUCACCACUGCCUAAGCACAAACAACAACAACAACAAACACAAGAAAACAAGUUCCAACUUCGAGCAAACUGAAGAGGUACCGAGGUGACUUGACGAGAAGCAAAGGAAACCAAUGCUUCGGCUAAUGAACUCACACCAUCACCAGCCCAAAAAUAGAGGGGAGUCGCUGACCACCCAAACCUAGAACCACCACAGCGAUCCAACCGCUACGAACCCAACAAAGGAUUGGAUCAGAGAACCCAAACCUAGUUCGGCCUCCAAAAGAGCCGAGAAGCCAAAACCUCACACACCUCCACCGAGAGCUUGGGAAACAGAAGAAGGAGAGGCCGAGAAGAGGAGAACCACCGUCCCGAGACCACCAUUGAAAAGCCCAGCCGAGAAGAAAACCGACGAAAAGAAGAUCUGGAAAAACUAAGGCGAUGCACCACCUUGUUUCAGAUCGGAGAAGAAACCCGUCGCUAGGAGGAGCAGCGAACCCAAACGCCUCAUCAACAGCCACAACCGCCGCAGAAAAAGGAGUUCCGCCGCACAAGGAGAACACAAAAGCCACGCAUUGCCGGAGUCAUGAAAGCGUACCGAUGCCGUCCUCAAACAUCGAAGCCCAAAGAACAACCGGACGAGCAUGGCGGGACUCUCCUUGCCACCGUGCGAAGGAACCCACUGCGAACCACCAACUAGAGACGAAGGGA
RNAcentral lists this long non-coding RNA (1209 nucleotides) under Arabidopsis lyrata. RNAcentral describes it as "long non-coding RNA (ALYR_LNC001743)". Lineage: Eukaryota; Viridiplantae; Streptophyta; Magnoliopsida; Brassicales; Brassicaceae. The record is from RNAcentral.